RNAcentral lists this long non-coding RNA (2033 nucleotides) under Marmota monax (woodchuck). The record is from RNAcentral. Lineage: Eukaryota; Metazoa; Chordata; Mammalia; Rodentia; Sciuridae.
CUGCAAACAAUCGUAUUAAGACCUGAGAAUUUUUUUUCUCCCUCUUGCUAAAGUCCUCGAUAAUACCAUGUUAUGCUGAGACAAUCCUAAAUGGCAUAUGAAGCAAAGGAAGAAAAAUAGUUUUUGCCUUGAAAGUUGAUUGUUCCCAGGGCGUAUCAUGCACAGCCCUAGGGAGAUGGUGAUUUCAUCGGGUUAAACAUUUAUAAAUUCAAGUCAGCUUGCGUUAUGAUUCAAAGAGUGCCAGGAAGGCUUCUCUACAUCAGAAGAACAUGGUCUCUGAAACACCACUGUGAGACACCCCCUUGUUGAGUCUCACCUCCUUAGGUAAGUAAUCUCUCCCUCCAUCUCUCUCUCUUGGUCCCAUGCAUACACAGACCGGAAUGGUAUCCUGUGUCACUGUGAGUGAUUAAUUGGAAUAUGUUUUUAAUAUAUACUUCAUGUUGCAAAUGGGAAAGAUUGUCGUAGAAAUAAACCAGAGAGAGACUAGAAACAGCAGAAGACAUGAUAGCAAGCUUAUUGCUGCCACUGGGCCUUUGCACUAUUUCCUCUGCUUAAAAAAAAAACAAAAAACAAAAAAACUCACCCCCAGUUCUGCCUGUGCUUCAUCCUUCCAAUCCUAGUGCCAUCCUCACCUCUACAGAGAGGCCUGCCCUGACCAACUUGGGGACAAUGGUCCCGGCCACCUUCCUCAACACAACACAAUCUCUUACUUCUUCCCAUUUUUAAAAAAUUCAUGUUCUUAUCAUUAUCUCAAAUAAUCUUAUUUGUCUCUGCAUUUUUCUGUUUGCAAUCUACAUCCCCCCUGUUAAUUGUAGGAUAAAUUGGCUCUGAGUAUGCAAGGAAUUUGUCUGCUCCAUAUUAGUCCUCAGCACACAGAACCAGGUGUAAAACUUAACAGGUAUACUCAAUAAAUAUGUGUUGCAUGAGUCAAUCAACCAGUUAUUCUAGGCAUCCCAAUAUUCUAUGAUUAUUAUGUUAUCUGAUUAUUAUUUUAUUAUUAAUUAAUAUGUAAUUUAUUGUUAUUAUUGUUGCUCUGAUCUUUUAAAACCACACCAUUGUAUCUCUGGAUUCCCUUUUUUUUUUUUUUUUGAGCUACUUGAGGUAGAACUCUGGGGUGCUCUAUCACUGAGCUAUACCCCCAGUUCCUUAUCUAUUUUAUUUUGAGACAGGGUCUUCCUAAGUUGCACAGGCUGAUCUUGGACUUGAGAUCCUCCCAUCUCAGCCUCUGCAAGUAGCUGAGAUUACAGGUGUAUGCCAGUGUACCUGGUUUCUGGAUUACCUUUAAUGAUGAAUGCUGAAUUUAUCCUUAAUCCCACCAAAGUAACUGUUUCAACAGGGUUUGAAAUUUAAAUUCCAUUAUGUGAGGAUUAAGAGAUGGAUUAUUAAAGAAACAAGAAACAAGAGCUCAAUAUAAAUACACUAGCUUGUCUCAUUAUGGCUAUAAAGAAGAGAACCCUAAAAUAGACAGUGCCUACACACCUAAAUGACUUAGAAAUGAGUCGAUAAUGAUUUCUGCAUUUUCAGGCUGAAGGAAGCACAUAGAUUUCAGGUAUUCUGGUGUGCAGAGCAGAAGUGAGCUCCUGUUUCUUGGGUUACCUUGUCAACUGGCUUUAUUCCCUCUGUCGCUUUGUACCUGCAGACUUAAGUGAGGACAGCUUCAAAACGUACAGUUGGCAGAGAAAACAAGCUUCCCUGGAAGUUCACUCUCUUUGUAAAGAGAUGAAAGUUAUAACUUCAUUAUUUAUUGGAGAGAAUGAAAACCUGAAGAAGGCUGUUGGACGGGGAGACUAUGUAAACCUCUGGGUGGUCCACAGUUUCACAUUUCAUCCCGUCUGCACACCUUAUGGAUAAAAGCUUUGGGCAUUCUAAUGAAUCAUGGCUGAUGUGGAAGAGAGUUGUUUUGUUUUUGUUGUUUGUUUGUUUUUUAACUAAUGUCUGAGCCUAGUUUUCAUCAACAUAAAGGUAAGCCUAGAAGUGGUAAAGUGAUAGAAAAUUCUCAAAGUUUUUGUCUCCAGUAAGUUCCAAUGUAACUC